RNAcentral lists this unclassified non-coding RNA (505 nucleotides) under Hevea brasiliensis (rubber tree). The record is from RNAcentral. Lineage: Eukaryota; Viridiplantae; Streptophyta; Magnoliopsida; Malpighiales; Euphorbiaceae.
AAGGCUGCUCAAACUGACCUGGAGGUAUGUGGCGUCUUUCGAAAGGUUUAAUAGCUGACUUUGGUUUUUUGACAAACUCUUAAUGAUAAAAUCCCCUCAAGUUAUACUAGUCCAAAUAAUUGAAUUCAUACUAGAUUCCUGCAUCUCAGAAUGUAAUGUAGGUACAAUUAUAUUCAUAUUAAUCAGAUAGUGGAUAAUUUCAAGUGAUGAAUAAUAUUUUGAUCACAUACAAUUGGAGAUGUGUUCACUUGUAGAAAACAUGACUUACUUUUUGGAAAACUUUUCCAAGAAACAUAGGAAAAACAAUUUCACGUUUAAAUGUGAUAGACUGAUAGUUUUCCAAAUUGAGAACCAAAAACCAAAAUUUUUCUGGCCUUUUUAUUAGCGGAAAAUAGUUUUAUGUUUACUAUUUUUCGUUUUCAAACUUUUUUUUUCUGUUUUAAUUCUAUGGAAUACCCAGAAAACAUGUUAAUUUGCUAAAAAUAGAAAAUCUUUUCCCAAAAAA